UACGUAGGGGGCAAGCGUUGUCCGGAUUUAUUGGGCGUAAAGAGCGUGUAGGCGGCCAGGUAGGUCUGCUGUGAAAACUCGAGGCUCAACCUCGAGCUGUCGGUGGAAACCAUCUGGCUAGAGUCCGGAAGAGGAGAGUGGAAUUCCCGGUGUAGCGGUGAAAUGCGCAGAUAUCGGGAAGAACACCCGUGGCGAAGGCGGCUCUCUGGGACGGUACUGACGCUGAGACGCGAAAGCGUGGGGAGCGAACAGG
RNAcentral lists this ribosomal RNA (253 nucleotides) under uncultured bacterium. RNAcentral's name for it is "partial 16S ribosomal RNA". It matches the Rfam family "Bacterial small subunit ribosomal RNA", at positions 524 to 776 of the family's 1533-position model. The record is from RNAcentral.